ACGACCUUACUUGAACAGGAUCUGUUCUAUAGGCUCGUACUACUGUAUCCUUGAUUUCUAAGGAGACAGGAAUGAAAGUCUGGAUGAAGAAAAGAGACCGUGCGAUCAGAGCGUGAUUAAUGGCUGAGAUGAUUGUCAGGUUGAUAUGGCAUCUUGUGCAGUAGAUGAUCGCUCUUGUGCAGUCUACUCUGUACGGGGUGGUCGUACGGUGAUAUGACAGACU
This is a small nucleolar RNA of Lathyrus oleraceus (garden pea), 223 nucleotides long. RefSeq annotates it as small nucleolar RNA U3. NCBI's taxonomy places the organism in Eukaryota, Viridiplantae, Streptophyta, Magnoliopsida, Fabales, Fabaceae. The transcript has a single exon. The record is from RefSeq and is a predicted model, not a curated record.